Non-coding RNA from Chiloscyllium plagiosum (whitespotted bambooshark), 533 nucleotides. NCBI's taxonomy places the organism in Eukaryota, Metazoa, Chordata, Chondrichthyes, Orectolobiformes, Hemiscylliidae. The record is from the annotation of a RefSeq genome assembly.
UUAUCAGGAACCAGGCACAGGGACAGGAGCACACACCAUGAUUUCACACAUCCAGCUGAUCUGGCCCCUGGCAUUCUGUGUCGCAGGUAUCAGUGGGGACAUCACCAUGACCCAGUCUCCCCCGUUGCUGUCAGUCGGACUGGGCCAGACCGCAACCAUCACCUGUACGGCCAGUCAAUCUGUUAGCAAGUGGGUUAAAUGGUUCCAGCAGCGAGAAGGUCAGAAACCCUCUCUCCUGAUCUAUGAUGCAACAACUCGAUUCACAGGAGUCUCCAAUCGAUUCACUGGCAGUGGAUCAGGGACCAGUUUCACCCUGAAAAUCAGCAACGUUCAGAAUGAGGAUGUCGCUGACUAUUACUGUAUGCAGCAUAGCAGCUCCCCCUACACAGUGAUACAGAGCAAUACAAAAUCACCUCCUGUACUGACGCAUCCACAGUUAUAUAAAAUGCAUAAUAAUGGACACACAGUCCCACCGCCUGAACUGACAUAUCCCACAGUUAGAUACAAAUGAAACUGAACAAAUUACCCCAUGC